RNAcentral lists this non-coding RNA (45 nucleotides) under Schistosoma mansoni. The record is from RNAcentral. Lineage: Eukaryota; Metazoa; Platyhelminthes; Trematoda; Strigeidida; Schistosomatidae.
AUCCAUCUGACGAGUCCCAAAUAGUACGAAAUGUGCGUUCUAGAU